Molecule: ribosomal RNA, 606 nt
Filed under: Trechispora sp. MA 82477
Lineage: Eukaryota; Fungi; Basidiomycota; Agaricomycetes; Trechisporales; Hydnodontaceae
Description: eukaryotic LSU rRNA
Rfam family: 5.8S ribosomal RNA (bases 207-359)
Source: RNAcentral
CAUUAACGUAUCUCCCACCGGGGGGGUUGGGUGGCCCUGCUCCAGUUUCCGACUGUGCAGCGGGCCUCUGCCCCCCUGGACACUACAAACCCACUGUGCACCUUUUCGUGGCGAGAGGACGCGGCGCGAGCCCGUCUGAACCCACGGUCUCUCAGACACAAGUUUAAGAAUGUCCGAGCGGACUCUGCUCCGCCCACAAACGUAACAACUUUCAACAACGGAUCUCUUGGCUCUCGCAUCGAUGAAGAACGCAGCGAAAUGCGAUAAGUAAUGUGAUUGCAGAAUUCAGUGAAUCAUCGAAUCUUUGAACGCACCUUGCGCUCCUUGGUAUUCCGAGGAGCAUGCCUGUUUGAGUGUCAUGAAGUCAUCAACCCCUCACGUUUUCCUUGCGGGGGUGGGUUGGAUCUGGGGCCUGUGCCGCUGACAAUGUGGCUCCCCUCAAAUGCAUCGGUUGGGCCUGCGGGUCGAACUCGAUUGGGCGUUGUACCAUCCUCGCUCACCGAGACCUUGCGCCUUGACCUCGACCUGCCUGUGGAGUGGCGGUCAAACACUUUCUUGAAAUCUGACCUCAAAUCAGGUAGGACUACCCGCUGAACUUAAGCAUAU